AGCAGCCGCGGUAAUUCCAGCUCCAAUAGCGUAUAUUAAAGUUGUUGCAGUUAAAAAGCUCGUAGUUGAAUUUCGGGAUCAAUAUGUUGGUCGUGCCUCGGUACGUACUAGGUCAUAUUGGUUUCUCCUUCUGAAGAACCAUGAUGUCAUUUAUUUGGUGUCGUGGGGAAUCAGGACUGUUACUUUGAAAAAAUUAGAGUGUUUAAAGCAGGCUCACGCUUGAAUACAUUAGCAUGGAAUAAUGAAAUAGGACGUUUGAUUCUAUUUUGUUGGUUUCUAGGAUCGACGUAAUGAUUAAUAGGGAUAGUUGGGGGCAUUAGUAUUCAAUUGUCAGAGGUGAAAUUCUUGGAUUUAUUGAAGACUAACUACUGCGAAAGCAUUUGCCAAGGAUGUUUUCAUUAAUCAAGAACGAAAGUUAGGGGAUCGAAGACGAUCAGAUACCGUCGUAGUCUUAACCAUAAACUAUGCCGACUAGGGAUCGGAUGAUGUUAAUUUUUUAAUGACUCAUUCGGCGCCUUAC
This 520-nucleotide unclassified non-coding RNA is filed under the name uncultured Glomus. Its description in RNAcentral is "SSU rRNA". It matches the Rfam family "Eukaryotic small subunit ribosomal RNA", at positions 569 to 1091 of the family's 1831-position model. Lineage: Eukaryota; Fungi; Glomeromycota; Glomeromycetes; Glomerales; Glomeraceae. The record is from RNAcentral.